Small nucleolar RNA from Tachyglossus aculeatus (Australian echidna), 138 nucleotides. The record is from RefSeq and is a predicted model, not a curated record. Lineage: Eukaryota; Metazoa; Chordata; Mammalia; Monotremata; Tachyglossidae.
CCUCUCUCAGGGUUGCACCUGGAGAGUUUCCAAUACUCUACUAGUCUCAGCUACAGGAGGGAGAGCCAAGCAGAGGCCUAUCCAUUCCAUCCCUAGUUUGGAAAGUGGCUAGUGAGCGGAAGGCAGUCUGUUACAAGU